UACAGAGGGUGCAAGCGUUAAUCGGAAUUACUGGGCGUAAAGCGCGCGUAGGCGGCUGUCUAAGUCGGGUGUGAAAGCCCCGGGCUCAACCUGGGAACUGCAUUCGAUACUGGACGGCUAGAGUAUGAGAGAGGGAGGUAGAAUUCCACGUGUAGCGGUGAAAUGCGUAGAUAUGUGGAGGAACACCUGAGGUGAAGACGGGUUGCUGGGCUGACACUGACGCUGAGGCGCGAAAGCUAGGGUAGCAAACGGG
Molecule: ribosomal RNA, 253 nt
Filed under: uncultured bacterium
Lineage: Bacteria
Description: partial 16S ribosomal RNA
Rfam family: Bacterial small subunit ribosomal RNA
Source: RNAcentral